GGGCGGCGGUCUUCGAGGUAGCCCUUGUACUCGUUAUUGACGAAGGAGUGCGGAACGCGGAUCGAAGCACCGCGAUCGGCAAUGCCGUAGCUGAACUUGUUCNGCGCGGUCUCGUGCUUGCCGGUCAGACGCUUGUCGUUGUCCGGGCCGUAGACGGCGAUGUGGUCCAUCAGGUUCUUGUCGAACUGCUUCAUCAGAGCUUCGAAAUAGUCUUUGCCGCCGACCGUGCGCAUGUACUCGGU
RNAcentral lists this unclassified non-coding RNA (242 nucleotides) under Hevea brasiliensis (rubber tree). The record is from RNAcentral. Lineage: Eukaryota; Viridiplantae; Streptophyta; Magnoliopsida; Malpighiales; Euphorbiaceae.